Long non-coding RNA from Oncorhynchus tshawytscha (Chinook salmon), 677 nucleotides. The record is from Ensembl. NCBI's taxonomy places the organism in Eukaryota, Metazoa, Chordata, Actinopteri, Salmoniformes, Salmonidae.
UUAAAGGUGCAAUCUGGGAUAUUUGCUGUUUAAUAUUUGGUGGUGGGCUAAUGUUGAGCUUUAACACAAAUCCCAGAUUGUAUCUUUAAGGUCCAAGCUGCCCUAAACUGCUGUUGUCAUGUUCAUUAGGGGACACAAUGGAAAACAUUUAAAUGUUGUGCAAUGGAAAAAGAAAACGGGCAUUUCAUAUUGGACAAGUCCAGGUGGUAGGUGGUAGGUCUAGGUGGUAGGUCCAGGUGGUAGGUGGUAGGUCCAGGUGGUAGGUGGUCGGUCCAGGUGGUAGGUGGUAGGUCCAGGUGGUAGGUGGUCGGUCCAGGUGGUAGGCUAGUCCCUCACUGUUUAAUUUUUAUUUUAUUUUUUAUUAUUUUUUUUUUUAUCACCUUUAUUUAACCAGGUAGGCCAGUUGAGAACAAGUCCUCAUUUACAACUGUGACCUGGCCAAGAUAAAACAAAGCAGUGCGACACAAACACAGACAGAGAUAAAACAUGGAAUAAACAAACGUACAGUCAAUAACACAAUAGAAAAGUCUAUAUACAGUAUGUGCAAAUUAAGUAAGAUUAGGGAGGUAAGGCAAUAAAUAGGCCAUAGUGGCGAAAUAAUUACAAUUUAGCAAUUAAACACUGAAGUGAUCGAUGUGCAGAAGAUGAAUGUGCAAGUAGGGAUACUGGGUGCAAAG